CAUAUAUAUAUAUAUAUAUAUAUAAAAUGGUCUCCUUUUCAGGUGAGAGAGGACGCUAAAGGCAGUGCCUUUAAGGCAAGCCCCCAAUAUUGUUGUCCAAAAAAUUCAGGAGAAUGGUUGCCCCGGUAGAUUUUCGGAAGGGGCACUGAAAUUCGGGAGUCUCCCAGGAAAAUCGGGAGGAAUGGCAACUAUGGGUAUCGACUGAUUACUGAUAACGGCAUCGGCAGCUUCAAACCCUGACCAGAACCUCCCUAUUUAACAGAGAAGCAGUAGAAAAUGGAUGGCUGGAUUAGAUAACAAUUGUUUUCUGUCCCGUGUGAGUUCUGGGCUGUGAACGGAUGUUGCUUUUGGUGCCGCCAUGGAUCUUAUCCCAGGAAGCGGAAUUAGAGCCGGUGUUGUGCCGAAUUCUGCACCCCCGCCGUAAAAUGCACCCCCUGUCGGGAGCGCGCUUACGUCACUCGGUUGCAUCACCCGUCUCGAAAAGUAGCUAAACUCGGCUAAAAUCGCCUCUUUCGGCAUAAAAAUGUACAUAACAAGGUGAAUAAUCCAAGUUGUCUUUACUUUGGAUAUAUUAAUGGAUGGAUUAAUUGUGAUUCUUUAAUGAUUUCGCCGCCAUUGCCUUUAAUGAUUUCGUCGUCAUUCAAUCGCCUCUUUCGGCAGAAAAAUGUACAUAACAAGGUGAAUACUCCAAGUUGUCUUUACUUUGGAUAUAUUAAUGGAUGGAUUAAUUGUGAUUCUUCAAUGAUUUCGCCGUCAUUGCCUUUAAUGAUUUCGUCGUCAUUCAGAGACAUCAAGGAGAACGAAUGUUUGCUGCUUCACUCGACGGGAUCCAAUACAUGUAUUUUAAAAAUAUGACAUUUUCUUUAACUGUAAGAAGCUCAUGGGUGGAUGGAUGAAUACAUUAAUAAAUGAAUGCAUCUGA
Long non-coding RNA from Nerophis ophidion (straightnose pipefish), 922 nucleotides. RefSeq lists it as uncharacterized. Lineage: Eukaryota; Metazoa; Chordata; Actinopteri; Syngnathiformes; Syngnathidae. The transcript has 2 exons. The record is from RefSeq and is a predicted model, not a curated record.